CCGCUAUUGGAGUUCGAUUAAGCCAUGCGAGCCGCGAGAAAUUAGAUUCUCGGCGUACCGCUCAGUAACACGUGGGUAACCUGCCCUAUGCUGGAUAAUAACCUCGGGAAACUGAGUAUAAUGAUCCAUAGUUCACUACGCCUGGAACGGUGAGUGGAUGAAAGCUCCGGCGGCAUAGGAUGGGCCUGCGGCGUAUCAGGUUGUAGGGGGUGUAACGUACCCUCUAGCCCUCUACGCGUACGGGUGUUGGGAGACAUAGCCCGGAGAUGGAUUCUGAGACACGAAUCCAGACCCUACGGGGUGCAGCAGGCGCGAAAACUUGGCAAUGCGAGAAAUCGUGACCAGGGAACUCCAAGUGCAUCGGGUAAGACCGGUGCUUUUCUUGACUCAAAAUAGGUCUUGGAAUAAGGGGUGGGUAAGGACGGUGCCAGCCGCCGCGGUAAUACCGGCGCCUCAAGUGGUAGUCGCUUUUAUUGGGCCUAAAACGUCCGUAGCCGGUCUGAUACAUUCGUGGGUAAAUCAACCAGCUCAACUGGUUGAAUUCUGCGAGGACGGUCAGACUUGGGACCGGGAGAGGUGUGGGGUACGCUCAGGGUAGGGGUAAAAUCCUGUCAUCCUGAGCGGACCACCUGUUGCGAAGGCGCCACACUAGAACGGAUCCGACGGUCAGGGACGAAGCCUAGGGGCACGAACCGGAUUAGAUACCCGGGUAGUCCUAGGUGUAAACGCUGUGGACUUGAUGUUGGGGGUGCUCCGAGCACUCUCAGUGUCGAAGCGAAGGUGAUAAGUCCACUGCCUGGGAAGUACGGUCGCAAGGCUGAAACUUAAAGGAAUUGGCGGGGGAGCACCGCAACCUGAGGAUUGUGCGG
RNAcentral lists this ribosomal RNA (869 nucleotides) under uncultured archaeon. RNAcentral describes it as "bacterial SSU rRNA". It matches the Rfam family "Archaeal small subunit ribosomal RNA", at positions 27 to 900 of the family's 1478-position model. The record is from RNAcentral.